UACGGAGGGUGCAAGCGUUAAUCGGAAUUACUGGACGUAAAGCGUGCGCAGGCGGUUUGUUAAGUCUGCUGUGAAAUCCCCGAGCUCAACUUGGGAAUUGCAGUGGAUACUGGCAGGCUGGAGUAUGGUAGAGGAAGGUGGAAUUCCCGGUGUAGCAGUGAAAUGCGUAGAGAUCGGGAGGAACACCAGUGGCGAAGGCGGCCUUCUGGACCAAUACUGACGCUCAUGCACGAAAGCGUGGGGAGCAAACGGG
RNAcentral lists this ribosomal RNA (253 nucleotides) under uncultured bacterium. RNAcentral describes it as "partial 16S ribosomal RNA". It matches the Rfam family "Bacterial small subunit ribosomal RNA", at positions 524 to 776 of the family's 1533-position model. The record is from RNAcentral.